GGUGCAGUAGCUCAGCUGGAUAGAGCAACGGUCUUCUAAACCGUAGGUCGUGGGUCCGAGCCCCACCUGCAUCA
RNAcentral lists this transfer RNA (74 nucleotides) under Lapidilactobacillus concavus. Its description in RNAcentral is "tRNA-Arg". It matches the Rfam family "tRNA". Rfam says of the family: Transfer RNA (tRNA) molecules are approximately 80 nucleotides in length. Their secondary structure includes four short double-helical elements and three loops (D, anti-codon, and T loops). The record is from RNAcentral. Lineage: Bacteria; Bacillati; Bacillota; Bacilli; Lactobacillales; Lactobacillaceae. RNAcentral also lists the same sequence under 2 other names.